This 370-nucleotide ribosomal RNA is filed under the name uncultured organism. RNAcentral's name for it is "partial 16S ribosomal RNA". It matches the Rfam family "Bacterial small subunit ribosomal RNA", at positions 527 to 896 of the family's 1533-position model. The record is from RNAcentral.
GUAGGGUGCAAGCGUUAAUCGGAAUUACUGGGCGUAAAGCGUGCGCAGGCGGUUUUGUAAGUCUGUCGUGAAAGCCCCGGGCUUAACCUGGGAAUUGCGAUGGAGACUGCAAGGCUUGAAUCUGGCAGAGGGGGGUAGAAUUCCACGUGUAGCGGUGAAAUGCGUAGAGAUGUGGAGGAACACCGAUGGCGAAGGCAGCCCCCUGGGUCAAGAUUGACGCUCAUGCACGAAAGCGUGGGGGAGCAAACAGGAUUAGAUACCCUGGUAGUCCACGCCCUAAACGAUGUCUACUAGUUGUCGGGUCUUAAUUGACUUGGUAACGCAGCUAACGCGUGAAGUAGGCCGCCUGGGGAGUACGGUCGCAAGAUUA